UACGGGGGGGGCAAGCGUUGUUCGGAAUUACUGGGCGUAAAGGGCGCGUAGGCGGCCUGGCAAGUGGAAGGUGAAAUCCCUCGGCUUAACCGAGGAACUGCCCUCCAAACUGCUUGGCUUGAGUCCGGGAGAGGUGAGUGGAAUUCCCAGUGUAGCGGUGAAAUGCGUAGAUAUUGGGAGGAACACCAGUGGCGAAGGCGGCUCUCUGGGACGGUACUGACGCUGAGACGCGAAAGCGUGGGGAGCGAACAGG
RNAcentral lists this ribosomal RNA (253 nucleotides) under uncultured bacterium. RNAcentral describes it as "partial 16S ribosomal RNA". It matches the Rfam family "Bacterial small subunit ribosomal RNA", at positions 524 to 776 of the family's 1533-position model. The record is from RNAcentral.